GUUCAAAACAAGUGACGUGGAAAUUUCCAUAUUUCAAUGUUUGCAUGAACAUCUCCAACAGCCAAAAUAUCUCUAAAAUAAGCCCAAGUCGUGAUUAUUGCUGCGGUGGGAUUAAAAAAAAAACUGAAACAUGAAGGAGGAUUUACCUCGUCAAGAUUAUAUAUACGGAUUUCUUUAUCUGUAGUACUGCUGACAAAUAAAUUAUGUAGCGGCGAGCACUUGAUACAGAUACAAACCUUCGAUGGAAGUUACACUAUCCAAACUACAUUUAUAGAUUCCACCGCAUAGCGUUCCAACGAUAAAUAUACUGGGAUGCGCUGGAGAAAAAUCGAAACUCGUGAUACACAAUCCUGCUUCUGCAGCGCGCUCGCGAGUACCUCCGGCGCUGCGUGGCCUA
Long non-coding RNA from Camponotus floridanus (Florida carpenter ant), 397 nucleotides. RefSeq lists it as uncharacterized. The record is from RefSeq and is a predicted model, not a curated record. The transcript has 3 exons. NCBI's taxonomy places the organism in Eukaryota, Metazoa, Arthropoda, Insecta, Hymenoptera, Formicidae.